GGUCAAGCCCAAAACUUGACCAUUGUUCCAAGGAGAUAAAAACUUCUCGCUGAAGUCAAACACAAAGUAUAGGACUCAAGUUUGAAAUACGUUUCUAAGACUCAAAAUGAAGCUGAUGAAAUUGUGUAUUACAAGAAGAGAAUGCCAUGGCAUUAUUUUUCAGUUUCCAUAAAACAAAGAUGAGGGAGCAUCAGCUGAAGAUGAGAAGGGCUAAACGUAGGGAAAUCUAAAGGAACUAGUACUUUUUACAGCUGCAGGAUUCCACGGCACCCAGCAUGGAGUACGUGCAUAGUUCAAGACCCACAUCUGGAACGCUUAUUUACCAUAGGAAAGAUAAAACAUCUGAGUUUUUCAGAACUUCUUUUUCACUCUCUUUGGCAUAUUUAUGAAGAAUACUAGUAUAUUGAAGAAGAGAAGCAGGGAAGAAUAAAGAAGAAGAGGAAGGAGAGAAGAGGAAGAGGAAGAAGAAAAAGGAGAAGGAACGUCAAAACAAGAUUAUAAGACUUCUUU
Molecule: long non-coding RNA, 510 nt
Filed under: Equus caballus (horse)
Lineage: Eukaryota; Metazoa; Chordata; Mammalia; Perissodactyla; Equidae
Description: lncRNA (ENSECAG00000049111.1)
Source: RNAcentral